AUCAACUUUCGAUGGUAGGAUAGAGGCCUACCAUGGUGGUAACGGGUAACGGGGUGUUAGGGCACGACACCGGAGAGGGAGCCUGAGAAACGGCUACCACAUCCAAGGAUGGCAGCAGGCGCGCAAAUUACCCAAUCCCGACACGGGGAGGUAGUGACAAUAAAUAACAAUACGGGGUUCUUUCGGAUCUCGUAAUUGGAAUGAGUACAAUUUAAAUCUCUUAACGAGGAACAAUUGGAGGGCAAGUCUGGUGCCAGCAGCCGCGGUAAUUCCAGCUCCAAUAGCGUAUAUUAAAGUUGUUGCAGUUAAAAAGCUCGUAGUUGAAUUUCGGGGUUAGUAGGCUGGUCGUGCCACCGGUACGUACUGGUCUUACUGAUUCCUCCUUCCUGAUGAACUGUAAUGCCAUUAAUUUGGUGUUGCAGGGAAUCUGGACUGUUACUUUGAAAAAAUUAGAGUGUUUAAAGCAGGCUAACGCUUGAAUACAUUAGCAUGGAAUAAUGAAAUAGGACGUUCGAUCCUAUUUUGUUGGUUUCUAGGAUUGACGUAAUGAUUAAUAGGGAUAGUUGGGGGCAUUAGUAUUCAAUUGUCAGAGGUGAAAUUCUUGGAUUUAUUGAAGACUAACUACUGCGAAAGCAUUUGCCAAGGAUGUUUUCAUUAAUCAAGAACGAAAGUUAGGGGAUCGAAGACGAUCAGAUACCGUCGUAGUCUUAACCAUAAACUAUGCCGACUAGGGAUCGGAUGAUGUUAAUUUUUUAAUGACUCAUUCGGCGCCUUACGGGAAACCAAAGUGUUUGGGUUC
This 799-nucleotide ribosomal RNA is filed under the name uncultured Glomus. RNAcentral's name for it is "SSU rRNA". It matches the Rfam family "Eukaryotic small subunit ribosomal RNA", at positions 314 to 1114 of the family's 1831-position model. Lineage: Eukaryota; Fungi; Glomeromycota; Glomeromycetes; Glomerales; Glomeraceae. The record is from RNAcentral.